CCUAAGCCAGGCCACUUACAUGGCUGACGAUUUUAUUAUGCAGCAGAAAGGACUAUCUUCUGCACACACUUGGCGUAACUGUGACAGAGGCAGAAGACAUGAAAGAAUAUUGAAGGGCAUAACUGUUAAACAAGACCCUAUAAUCAGUCCCAUAAAAAAGGCAAAUGCAGCUGCAACUCCCCCAGAAAUUCCCAAAAGGAGGAGAUGGGAGCAAAAUUAAACUGCUCAGUGACUGUACAUCCCUGGCACCAUGGUAAGAAGAAAGAAGAACUGUGUUUAGAGGCAAUCGGCAUAUUAUAUUGGAGAGUGAAAACUCGAGAAUACUGACCGGACCAGUGAUCGCCGGGUUUUGAAGUCUUGGGUCUUCCCACUGAGUAAU
Talpa occidentalis (Iberian mole) is the source of this 379-nucleotide long non-coding RNA. RefSeq lists it as uncharacterized. The record is from RefSeq and is a predicted model, not a curated record. Lineage: Eukaryota; Metazoa; Chordata; Mammalia; Eulipotyphla; Talpidae. The transcript has 3 exons.